Molecule: transfer RNA, 86 nt
Filed under: Caldifarciminota bacterium
Lineage: Bacteria; Pseudomonadati; Caldifarciminota
Description: candidate division WOR-3 bacterium (hot springs metagenome) tRNA-Leu
Rfam family: tRNA
About the family: Transfer RNA (tRNA) molecules are approximately 80 nucleotides in length. Their secondary structure includes four short double-helical elements and three loops (D, anti-codon, and T loops). Further hydrogen bonds mediate the characteristic L-shaped molecular structure. tRNAs have two regions of fundamental functional importance: the anti-codon, which is responsible for specific mRNA codon recognition, and the 3' end, to which the tRNAs corresponding amino acid is attached (by aminoacyl-tRNA synthetases). tRNAs cope with the degeneracy of the genetic code in two manners: having more than one tRNA (with a specific anti-codon) for a particular amino acid; and 'wobble' base-pairing, i.e. permitting non-standard base-pairing at the 3rd anti-codon position.
Source: RNAcentral
GCCGGAGUGGCGGAACUGGAAGACGCGACGGACUCAAAAUCCGUUUCCUCUCAGGAGGAGUGUGGGUUCAAUUCCCUCCUCCGGCA